CAGCAGCCGCGGUAAUACGUAGGGUGCGAGCGUUAAUCGGAAUUACUGGGCGUAAAGCGUGCGCAGGCGGUUUGUUAAGACCGAUGUGAAAUCCCCGGGCUCAACCUGGGAACUGCAUUGGUGACUGGCAAGCUAGAGUAUGGCAGAGGGGGGUAGAAUUCCACGUGUAGCAGUGAAAUGCGUAGAGAUGUGGAGGAAUACCGAUGGCGAAGGCAGCCCCCUGGGCCAAUACUGACGCUCAUGCACGAAAGCGUGGGGAGCAAACAGGAUUAGAUACCCCUGUAGUCCCUGUCUCUUAUAC
Molecule: ribosomal RNA, 301 nt
Filed under: uncultured bacterium
Lineage: Bacteria
Description: partial 16S ribosomal RNA
Rfam family: Bacterial small subunit ribosomal RNA
Source: RNAcentral